UGUUUAUCAAACAAGGAGAAAAAACAUCCAGCAUGCCAUCUAAAUGAUGAAAUACGGAAUUCAGAUGUCUCCAGAAAUUCAACAAUGUUCAUCGAUCCAACGAGCAACAUUGGUCGAUCGGGUAAAAACGUGUUAUAGCAUUAUCAUACUGAAAUUAUCACCUUAGAAAAUGAAGACUUUGUUUAAGACAUACCUAUGAAUCCAGGGAAGCAAGUUCGAUAUUCUCUGUAAUUGAAACUGAUUUAAUUGGAGUUUUUAUCAACAAGAUUAUGCAUGCAUGGAAAUUAACGUAAUAACAUCGAAAUCUUAACUGCAUUUUA
Molecule: long non-coding RNA, 320 nt
Organism: Chrysoperla carnea
Lineage: Eukaryota; Metazoa; Arthropoda; Insecta; Neuroptera; Chrysopidae
Exons: 3
Source: RefSeq, a predicted model, not a curated record